This 229-nucleotide non-coding RNA is filed under the name Aureimonas altamirensis. The record is from RNAcentral. Lineage: Bacteria; Pseudomonadati; Pseudomonadota; Alphaproteobacteria; Hyphomicrobiales; Aurantimonadaceae.
AUUAUCGUGACGCCCGAUGGUCCCGUGCCGCACCCUGCGGCUUCGGGCUAAGAGGGAAUGCGAAGGGCCGACCCAAUCCGGGGGCCCGUAUCGUAGCCGACCCCGCGACUGUAGAGCGGAGAGGUUGUUCCACCGGCAUGCCGGAAACGCCACUGGGCCACCGCCCGGGAAGGCAGGAAGCAACCGCUGACCCGCGAGCCAGGAGACCUGCCAUCGCUGAAGAGCGGCA